GGUAUCCUUUGCAACACGGCUGCCCAAUUUCAAAACACAGUAAGUAGCAAAAAUAAAAUUAUUGGAAUAUAUCAAUCGAAUCAUAUUCACACGACUCCAUUGGAACGUAAAAUGCAAAAAAACCGAUUUCGCAAAAUUUGUCCCUUACUAUGUUUUGAAAUUGGGC
Molecule: long non-coding RNA, 166 nt
Organism: Melitaea cinxia (Glanville fritillary)
Lineage: Eukaryota; Metazoa; Arthropoda; Insecta; Lepidoptera; Nymphalidae
Exons: 3
Source: RefSeq, a predicted model, not a curated record